Molecule: unclassified non-coding RNA, 210 nt
Filed under: uncultured Trechispora
Lineage: Eukaryota; Fungi; Basidiomycota; Agaricomycetes; Polyporales; Polyporaceae
Description: sequence contains ITS2
Source: RNAcentral
AGUCAUCAACCCCUCCCGUUUUGUGCGGAGAGGCGGUUGGAGCUGGGGGCCCUGCUGCCGUCAGGCGGCUCCCCUCAAACGUGUCGGUUGGGCCUGUGGGUCAAACUCGGUUGGGCGUUGUACCAUCCUCGCUCUAAGUCCGAGAUGUUCCCCCUUUAUCGUGCCCUUCCCAGACUGCCUCUGGAGCGGUGGUCAAAGACAAACUUUGAA